Molecule: ribosomal RNA, 894 nt
Filed under: Pestalotiopsis arengae
Lineage: Eukaryota; Fungi; Ascomycota; Sordariomycetes; Amphisphaeriales; Sporocadaceae
Description: LSU rRNA
Rfam family: Eukaryotic large subunit ribosomal RNA
Source: RNAcentral
AUAUCAAUAAGCGGAGGAAAAGAAACCAACAGGGAUUGCCUUAGUAACGGCGAGUGAAGCGGCAACAGCUCAAAUUUGAAAUCUGGCCCUCGGGUCCGAAUUGUAAUUUGUAGAGGAUGAUUUUGGUGCGGUAUCUUCCGAGUUCCUUGGAACAGGACGCCUUAGAGGGUGAGAGCCCCGUACGGUUGAAUGCCUAGCCUCUGUAAAUCUCCUUCGACGAGUCGAGUAGUUUGGGAAUGCUGCUCUAAAUGGGAGGUAAAUUUCUUCUAAAGCUAAAUAUUGGCCAGAGACCGAUAGCGCACAAGUAGAGUGAUCGAAAGAUGAAAAGCACUUUGAAAAGAGGGUUAAAUAGCACGUGAAAUUGUUGAAAGGGAAGGAUUUAUGACCAGACUUUUUCUGGGCGGAUCAUCCGGGGUUCUCUCCGGUGCACUUUGCCCAGUAAAGGCCAGCAUCGAUUUUCGGCGGCGGAUAAAAGCAGUGGGAAUGUGGCUCCCUACGGGGAGUGUUAUAGCCCAUUGUAUAAUACGCUGCUGGGGAUCGAGGUACGCGCUUCUGCAAGGAUGCUGGCGUAAUGGUUAUCAAUCACCCGUCUUGAAACACGGACCAAGGAGUCGAACAUUUAUGCGAGUGUUUGGGUGUUAAACCCUCACGCGUAAUGAAAGUGAACGGAGGUGAGAGCCCGUACGGGUGCAUCAUCGACCGAUCCUGAAGUUUUCGGAUGGAUUUGAGUAAGAGCAUAACUGUUCGGACCCGAAAGAUGGUGAACUAUGCGUGGAUAGGGUGAAGCCAGAGGAAACUCUGGUGGAGGCUCGCAGCGGUUCUGACGUGCAAAUCGAUCGUCAAAUCUGCGCAUGGGGGCGAAAGACUAAUCGAACCAUCUAGUAGCUGGUUACC